Molecule: long non-coding RNA, 1388 nt
Filed under: Anas platyrhynchos platyrhynchos (common mallard)
Lineage: Eukaryota; Metazoa; Chordata; Aves; Anseriformes; Anatidae
Description: lncRNA (ENSAPLG00000025115.1)
Source: RNAcentral
UAGUAUAGGAUAUGGGUAUAAAUAGUAAGUACAUUUUAUACCUUUGUAAUAUUUAGUGUAGUAAUUACUUUGAAACUUGAAGCUGGUAUCCAGCAUGGAUAGGAGGCUGAAGGACGAUCUCCCAGAAAUGAAGAGCUGGGGUUUUGCCGGUGGAUUGAUGAGAAAGGAGACCCAGAGCCUCUGCAGCAUGAGAGCCCCCCUCUGUGCUCCCUUCUCUCUCUCGCUAAGGCCUGCUUUUCCCAUUCCCACUGGCUUUCCCAGCCCAGAUGGCAUGAGCAGACCUCACUCCAGGGACCAUUCCCACACGCCCCAGGAGGGGUAUGGGAUCCCCACAUGGGGAAGGACGGCUGGAACUGAAGACCCUGUGGAUUGCUCCGUUACGGAUUGACUUCCUUCCCAGGGUAAUGUGAAGGUCAUGAAUUGGGAAGAGCCAGUGGUUGCGACUGUGUUGAUCUUCUCAUUAUCUAGUUGGCACAAACUCUACCACUACUCACAAGGUUUCUACAUUUCAGACCUUGAAAAUCCAAAACUCUUCUGUUCUCACCCAAGGUUUAUGUUCUGUAGUCUUGCAGGGUCUGAACUUUUUCUUUGAUGAAGCAGAUGGUUCACUCUGUCCUCCCCUUUGUUAUAUCUUGGCACCUAGUUCUUUCUAUUUAUGGUGAGAUGUUUUGCUUUCCUGUGAGUAUUCAGAAAUAAGAUUCCUUUUUUUUUUUUUUUUUAAUUUUGGCUUAUCCACUUAGAAACAUAACUGAGGAAACUUUUUUCUUUAGUUUUCUUUCUAAAUGCUCAGAUUUUCCCAUACAGAAAAGCUACAUUAUUUUCUUACAUCCUAGUGCAUAGCUACAAGACUUGAACAAGAGACCAGCUGAGCCAUGGGAAAAGUUGGUGGUGUUCUUUUUUACGCAUUUAUUAUUGACAAAUGGUUUUAAGUGUGCUUGAAUAUGCCUUUGUAUUUUCCAAAACUGACCAUUUUUUCCUGUAAUAUUUCCAAGAAGCAGCAAUUCGUAGUAUCAAAAUUGGAGUCUGCCACAUGCAUCCUCAUGAAUCUUACUUUAGUAGUCCAAUGACACGUUGACCUCUAUAAUAUUGAACUUAAUUUGCUGUCAGUUUUACUGUUUUUUUUUUUCUUUCUUUCACACUUUAUCUUUUAUUGAUCUUCUUGUAUUCUGUGCACUUUUGCUUACUUCUCCCUUCUCUGUUUCCAUUUCCUUUUCUCAAGCUAAAUAAGUUCCAAAUAUUUAGUUACUGCCUGUGGCAGCCACAUUAGAGGUUCAUCUGGCCUCGUUUAGUGUUGUAUGUAGAAGCCAGCUUCAGAGGAGAAAUUAAAGGCUGCACAAUUACCUUUCAGUUCCAUGUAGAACCCAAUAAGUCUAAUUCCCUGAAGAAUA